Molecule: long non-coding RNA, 8364 nt
Filed under: Triticum aestivum (bread wheat)
Lineage: Eukaryota; Viridiplantae; Streptophyta; Magnoliopsida; Poales; Poaceae
Description: long non-coding RNA (TAES_LNC007706)
Source: RNAcentral
UGUAGGAUCGAAGAAGGUGAGAGUGUCUAGAGGGGGGUGAUUAGACUACUCGACAAGAUAAAAAUUAUGCCUUUUGACAAAGACAAGUUUUGGCAGAUUUUGCAUAUCACACAAGUCAAGUAGCAUACUAUACAUGCAAUUCUAGAGUAUGGGCAGCGGAAAGUAAAUUGCACAAGUAAUAAAGAGAAGUGGAGAAGAUCAAACGCAAUUUGGAGACACGGAGAUUUUUCUCGUGGUUCCGAUAGGUGGUGCUAUCGUCAAUCCACGUUGAUGGAGACUUCAACCCACGGAGGGUAACGGCUGCUAGAGUCCACGGAGGGCUCCACCCACGAAGGGUCCACGAAGAAGCAACCUUGUCUAUGCCAUCAUGGCCUACGCCCACGGAGGGCUAGCCUUACUCGGGGUAGAUCUUCACGAAGUAGGCGAUCUCCUUGCCCUUACAAACUUCUUGGUUCAACUCCACAUCUCGAAGGAGGCUCCCAAGCGACACCUAACCAAUCUAGGAGGCACCACCCUCCAAAAGGUAAUAGAUGGUGUUGAUGAUGAUGAACUCCUUGCUCUUGUGCUUCAAAUGAUAAUCUGCCCAACACUCAACUCUCCUCACUGGUGUGGUGGAAGAAAGGAUUGAGUGGAAAGCAACUUGGGAAGACUAGAGAUCAAGCUUCAUAUGGUGGGAGUGGAGCUACUUGAUCUCAACACAAGGGUAGGUAGUUUUCUUCUCAGAAAUGUAAGGUAGGAGUGGUAGUACUUUCUGAUGGCUCUCUCCACGAAUGAAGAGGGGGUGGAGGGGUAUUUAUAGCCUCCACACAAAAUCCAACUGUUACACACAUUUGACCAAUCUCGGUCAGACCGAAGUUGACAACUCGGUGAGACCGAAAGUUCAAAUCAUGUGAACGUUGGGAUUUUCGGUGGGACCGAAAAUACAAACUCGGUGAGUCCGAUUCGUCCAAAGACAAGAGCUUGCCAAUCUCGGUGGGACCGACUUCAUCAUCUCGGUGACACCGAUUUGAUGACAGAAGGUUACAGAAGCUUGGCAACUCAAGUUUCGGUGAGACCGAGUUAAGAAUCGGAAAAUCCGAGAUUUCUAGGGUUUGGCUUUGUGGCUGAGGUGGUUCAUCUCGGUGUGACUGGGUUUGGAAAAUCGGUGGGACCGAGAUUACUUAUGAGUGUAUUAUGGAAGUGAGAGUUGCUGAUAGUUUAGGAGAUGUAUCACUAAGCACUUUGAGCAACCAGAUCAUUAUCAUAACCUCAUCCCCUUUUAAUAGUAUUGGCUUUCCUAUAGACUCAAUGUGAUCUUGGAUCACUAAACCAAAAUGGAGUCUUGAGCUUUUGCCAAUGCUUGCCUUAGCAUUUUGAGGGGUCCACCUCUUCAGUCCUUUUGCCAUGCCAAUGUGCUUGACUUUCCUGAAACAUACUUGAUAAAAGCAUUAGUCCAACCACAAAGUAUGUUGUCAUUAAUUACCAAAACCACCCAGGGAGCAAAUGUGCUUUCAAUCUCCCCCUUUUUGGUAAUUGAUGGCAACACACAAAACAAGACAUCAAAGCUUACUGAAAGAAAGACAGAAUUAUCACUAAAGCUUUGACAAACAUGUAGUACACAGGCUCCCCCUACAAGUGUGCAAGAUUUUUAUAGAUUUUGGUUUUGGACUACCACAAGCACACAAGAGAGAAAAACAAGAUGUGCUACAUGCAGCUUGGCUAUAUGCAUCAGAGCAGAUGAAAAGAAGUGAGUGAUCAUACAUAUGUGCAUGGUGAUUUCUUGCAAACAAGUAUUGACAAGCAAGUCACCAUCAUGCACAUUCUACAAGGUGCAUAUACUUACCUUGAGGUUCCUUGGCAUUGUACCUGAAGAAAUAAACUUGGGAAAACAAGAUUAGAUAACACAAGAGUAUUUCUUCAACCAACAGCAAGAACAUCAAGAGUACCAAGCCAGGGAUGACAUGUAUAAUGAGUGUCUCAUAAAGAGCACAAGCUUGAAUCAGCAAACAUGUCUCCUGAAACUAACAGAUUUUCAAUGAACUCUGAGAGAUUUUGCUUUCCAUAAGAUAUCAAUUGUGAAGAUUCCUCUCCCUUUGAGGAAAAAGCAAAAUCAAAAGAAUGAUGCCAAAUGUAAUAACCAAUGUGGAACACGGCAAAGCUUUGAUGUGAUUCUCUCCCCCUUGAGAUAAGAUUGCUCUUCUUCUCCCCCUAAAUCUUCUCUUCUCCCCUUAAGUCCCCCUAAAUCUUCUCCCCCUUUGACAUCAAGUGCCGAAAAGGACAGCAAACUAGGAAGGUCAGGAAAGAUUAAAGGAAAGAAAUGGGAUCCUUAAGAAUCACAACAGGGUAAUAAGAACACAGUUAAGCUGCAGAAGGUGAUAUCCUGAAAGAAAUAAAUCGGUGACACCGGAUUGAUAUGGAUCGGUGUGUCCGAAAGUCAGGGACUUAGGGCAGAUCCUUUUCGGUUAGACCGAAAUAACUAAAUCGGUGACGCCGAGUUUAAUUCCAAGGAAAUACAGAAUUAAUUCAGCUCACUUUGCAAGGAAUGUUUCAAAGGAUUUGCAAUGAAUUUGUAAAUGAUUUUCAAGGAAUUGAUCAGAGCCAAAAAGAAUAUUCACAAAGACAGAAGAACAGAAAAGAAAAAGAUUCCUAGAUGAAGUUUUUUUUAAGAAGAAAACUCAAUGAGAGAACAAAAUAGAAAAUAGAAAAACUCCAAAACAUAUGUACUUCAUCUAGAUAAGGGUCGGCGACAAAGUCACCUAUGUUUGAGUAUAUUGACUUAGGAGUCAAAUGAGAACAUUUGAUCAUAGGUCAUACUCAUCAUUUAAGCUCAAAAUGGGGUUGCCAUUUUUCGAUUAAGCAUUUGAUGUGAUCACAUCUUAUGAAGCUGCUUGUACUCAUGUCUUUGAGCAAAGCUUCUUAAUGAUGUGAAGAACAUACCUUGGGCUUGUUGUUGCUUUGUUCAUGUAGGUGAACUUAAUAUAGGUGCUCAUUGAGUGUGAAGUUGGAGCAUCAUUUCAACUUGUGUAGUUCAUCUUCCUACAUGGGUUAGGCAAGCAAGGAAAUACUCAAGGAUAUCCAAGAUGACAAGAGUGAAAUACUAGAUGUAUAAGGUGUCAAAAAGGAUAUGUGGAAUUUUGUUCCUUGAACUCAACAUCCCAAAGGGCUAGAUACUUGGUCAAUGACAAGAUUACUCAUGAUUUGAGUGUGUGGUAAUCUUGUGGAAUGUAGAUCAUCCAAGUACCUGCAAGGAGUUAGAUGCAAUACAAGGGGGCAAAUGUGUCCAAGACAUAUGAUCAUCGUCAUAAGAGAAAUAUCAAGGAUUAGUCAAGUAGGCUCAUGCCUUGCAUGCAUCAAUGGAGUUUUCACUCCAAGUUUGAAGCAUCAAUGAUGUUCAACUCACUCCUUAAGCGACAAAACACUUUCUCAUCAAGUGGUUUUGUAAAGAUAUCUGCAAGUAGUUUGUCAGUACGAACAUGCUUAAGAUUGAUGUCACCCUUGGCAAUGUGAUCACGAAUAAAAUGGUGACGAACUUCAAUAUGUUUCGUGCGAGAGUGUUGCACUGGAUUGUGUCCAAUCUUAAUCGCACUCUCAUUGCCACAAAGCAAAGGAACAUGUCUCACAUGUAUCCCAUAAUCCUUAAGCGUUUGUGUCAUCCAUAGCAACUGAGCACAACAUGAACCAGCAGCUAUAUAUUCUGCUUCGGCAGUGGAUAAUGAUACCGAAUUUUGUUUCUUGGAGGACCAAGAUACAAGGGAUCGACCAAGGAAUUGACAUGUACCCGAAGUUGACUUUCUAUCAACCCUGUCACCGGCAUAGUCCGAGUCGGAAUAGCCAACAAGAUCGAAAGAUGCCCUCUUAGGAUACCAAAUGCCAAAGUUAGGUGUGUGUAUCAAAUAUCUCACAAUUCUUUUAACAGCUUUAAGAUGACAUUCUUUAGGGGCUGCUUGAUAUCGAGCACACAUGCAUACACUCAACAUUAUGUCAGGACGAGAAGCACAGAGAUAUAGUAGAGAACCAAUCAUAGAUCGGUAAACCUUUUGAUCAACAGGUUCUCCAUCUUUUGUCAAGUCAUUAUGUCCACUAGUAGGCAUGGGGGUUCUCAUACCUUUGCUUUCUUGCAUGUUGAACUUCUUGAAGAGAUCCUUGGUGUACUUUGUUUGUGAGACAAAGGUACCCUCCUUAGAUUGCUUGAUUUGCAACCCAAGGAAGAAUUUGAGUUCACUCAUCAUGGACAUCUCAUACUUCUCCGACAUGAGCUUUCCAAACUUCUCGCUAAAAUGAGGGUUAGUUGAACCAAAGAUAAUAUCAUCAACAUAUAUUUGGCACACAAAUAGUUCACCAUCAACCCUUUUCGUGAAUAGCGUUGAGUCUAUUUUUCCAAUCUCAAAUCCUUUUUCAAGAAGAAAGCUAGUUAAGCAUUUGUACCAAGCUCUAGGAGCUUGUUUAAGGCCAUAAAGAGCUUUAUGAAGUUUGUAAACAUGAUUAGGCUUUUUAGGAUUCACAAAUCCAGGAGGUUGUUUCACAAAUACUUCCUCCUCAAUUUCACCAUUUAGGAAAGCACUUUUAAUAUCCAUUUGAUAGAGAGUAAUGUCAUGGUGGUUGGCAUAAGCAAGAAGAAUGCGAAUGGACUCAAGUCUAGCAACGGGGGCAUAGGUCUCACCAUAGUCCAUACCUUCGACUUGUGUGUAACCUUGAGCUACGAGACGAGCCUUGUUGCGGAUGACUUGUCCAUCUUCAUCUUGCUUGUUCCGAAACACCCAUUUGGUUCCAAUGACGUUUUGAUCAUCCUUGGGCUUCUCUACCAAAGUCCAUACAUUGUUCCUCUCGAAGUUGUGUAGCUCUUCGUGCAUCGAGUUCACCCAAUCCGGGUCUUCAAGUGCUUCUUCUACCUUCAUAGGUUCAAGACUAGAGAUAAAUGAGUAAUGCUCACAAAAGUUAGCUAAGCGAGUUUUAGAGCAAGUAAUUCUCCCGGAGUCGAUGUCGUUCAUCAUUUGUUCCACGGGAUGAUUUUUCUUGACUCUUGCUCGGACUCGGGAUAGCUUUUGUUGUGGUUGAGGCUGAGCUUCCUCAUCAUCCUCAUCUUCCUCUUCUUCUUCUUCAUUGUUGUUGGUGUUGUCUUGAGGUGGUGGAGAAGGAGGUUGUGGUGGAUCUUCUUGUUGCACUUCCUCAUCUUGGUGAGUUCCACUUGUGGAGGCCUCCAUGUUGCCUUGAGGUUCAUCUUGCCGUGAGGUAGGGGGCUCCACAUAUGUAGAUGAGGUACUCUCCUUCACUUCCAUGGGAUGGAUCUUUCCAAUAGAUAAAUCUUGAAUGGCUUCCGAUGGGUCCUUGUCUCCUACAUCAAUAGGCAUUUGCUCUACUUGCGAGCCAUUAGAUUCAUCAAACUUCACGUCUACCGUCUCUUCAACCUUUCGGGUGAAAUUGUUGUAGACACGGUAGGUGUGAGAGUUUGAUCCAUAACCGAGGAAAAAGCCUUCAUGAGUUUUAGGAGCAAAUUUGGACCGACGAUGCUUAUCAAGGAUAUAGCAUUUUGAACCAAAGACACGAAAGUAUCCCACUUGGGGUUUGUUACCGGUGAGGAGUUCGUAUGAAGUCUUGCCGAGGAGCUUAUGAAGAUAAAGCCUGUUGAUAGCAUGACAAGCUGUCUCAACCGCUUCACCCCAAAAAUGCUUCGGUGUCUUGUAUUCAUCAAGCAUCGUUCUCGCCAUCUCUAUGAGCGUUCGGUUCUUCCUCUCAACAACUCCAUUUUGUUGAGGAGUGUACGUAGCCGAGAACUCAUGUAGAAUCCCUUCCUCAUCGAGAAAACAAUCUACAUGGGCGUUCUUGAACUCCGUUCCAUUGUCACUCCGAACUUUCUUGAUCUUCACCUCAAAUUGAUUUUGGGCCUUUCUAGCAAAGGUUUUGAAGAUCCUCUGAACCUGUGAUUUGUCAUCAAGGAAAAAUACCCACGUAAAUCUGGAAUAAUCAUCAACUAUAACUAGACCAAAAGAGUUACCACCAAGGCUUUUGUAAGCAUUGGGACCGAAGAGAUCCAUAUGAAGAAGCUCAAGCGGUCUCCUUGUGGUCAUGAUGUUCUUCACGGGAUGACUUCCACCUACUUGUUUUCCUGCCUGACAAGCACUACAAAGUCUAUCUUUGUCAAAGAGAACAUCUUUAACACCAAGAAUAUGAUCACCUUUGAUUAGCUUGUCUAGAUUACGCAUACCAACAUGUCCAAGCCUUCUAUGCCAUAACCAACCUUUAGCGGAUUUAGCAAUGAAGCAAGUUCUAGGUUGGGCUUUCUUAGUGAAAUCAACAAUAUAUAGAUCACCUCUACGGAUACCGGUAAAAACCAUGUUAUGAUUGUCACGACGAAAGACUUGGCAAUCUACUUCGGUGAAUAGCACAUUGAAUCCAAAGUCAGCUAAUCUAGACACGGAAAGUAAAUUGUAUCCAAGUGAUUCAACAAGCAUGACAUUUUGAAUAGAGCUAUCAUGAGAUAUGGCCACCUUACCAAGGCCAAGUACCUUACCCUUGGAGUUGUCUCCAAAAGUCACAUACUUGCGUGGACCAUCGUUCUUUGCAAGCUCUCGAAACAUGUCUUCGUCUCCGGUCAUGUGAUCGGUGCAUCCACUAUCAAGAAUCCACUCUUUUCCACCGGAUAUGUAGUCUCUCAGAUUCGCCAUGAGAUUGAGACUCUUCAUGAUCUUGUCUAGCUCGGUGUCCGAAUCGGAGUAAUCAUCAUCAUGCUCAUGCUCAUCAUCAUAUUGACCCAUAGAUAGUUCAUCAUCAACACCUAGGUCAAUUUGACAAUGACUUGCAUUAGUUUUGUCAAUGUGACAAUAAUCAUCGGAAUGCAAUACAAGAGCAUUUCUAAUUAGAGCAUUGAUAAGAUAAGGAUCACCCUUCUUUUUCAUGAGAUCACGAAGCUCAAAGAAGCAUUUAUCAAAGUUGGGAUCAUUGGGGUGCAUCAUAUCAAAUUCAAUAGUCUUGUAUAGAAUUUCAUCAAGACCUCUCAAAGAGCAGUCCAGAUAAAGUUCUUCCAAGAACUUCCACAUAGCAUAGGCGCACUCAAAGUUUGUGACAAGCUUAAGCAAAUUAUCGGGCAAACCUCUAAUGAUAAGAUUUACAGUUCUAAGGUUACGAAGCAAAUCAAGCUCUUCAUCCAUGGUAGGGUGCAAGGGGUCAAAUGGAGGCACAUAUGGGGUUUCAACAUAUUUGCGCAAGUUAUACAUCUUAAAGAUAAUAAGCAUUUCAAUCCUCCACGAGUUAUAGGACACUCCAUUAAGAAUAGGCACUCUAUGGCUAACACUCCCAAACGUAGACACGUCCAUCUUCCUCCAAUGGUGUGUAAACCAAAGCAAUGGAAACCAAUGCUCUGAUACCAAUUGUAGGAUCGAAGAAGGUGAGAGUGUCUAGAGAGGGGUGAUUAGACUACUCGACAAGAUAAAAAUUAUGCCUUUUGACAAAGACAAGUUUUGGCAGAUUUUGCAUAUCACACAAGUCAAGUAGCAUACUACACAUGCAAUUCUAGAGUAUGGGCAGCAGAAAGUAAAUUGCACAAGUAAUAAAGAGAAGUGGAGAAGAUCAAACGCAAUUUGGAGACACGGAGAUUUUUCUCGUGGUUCCGAUAGGUGGUGCUAUCGUCAAUCCACGUUGAUGGAGACUUCAACCCACGGAGGGUAACGGCUGCGAGAGUCCACGGAGGGCUCCACCCACGAAGGGUCCAUGAAGAAGCAACCUUGUCUAUGCCAUCAUGGCCUACGCCCACGGAGGGCUAGCCUUACUCGGGGUAGAUCUUCACGAAGUAGGCGAUCUCCUUGCCCUUACAAACUUCUUGGUUCAACUCCACAUCUCGACGGAGGCUCCCAAGCGACACCUAACCAAUCUAGGAGGCACCACCCUCCAAAAGGUAAUAGAUGGUGUUGAUGAUGAUGAACUCCUUGCUCUUGUGCUUCAAAUGAUAAUCUCCCCAACACUCAACUCUCCUCACUGAUUUGGCUGUGGUGGAAGAAAGGAUUGAGUGGAAAGCAACUUGGGAAGACUAUAGAUCAAGCUUCAUAUGGUGGGAGUGGAGCUACUUGAUCUCAACACAAGGGUAGGUAGUUUUCUUCUCAGAAAUGUAAGGUAGGAGUGGUAGUACUUUCUGAUGGCUCUCUCCACGAAUGAAGAGGGGGUGGAGGGGUAUUUAUAGCCUCCACACAAAAUCCAACCGUUACACACAUUUGACCAAUCUCGGUCAGACCGAAGUUGACAACUCGGUGAGACCGAAAGUUCAAAUCAUGUGAACGUUGGGAUUUUCGGUGGGACCGAAAAUACAAACUCGGUGAGUCCGAUUCGUCCAAAGACAAGAGCUUGCCAAUCUCGGUGGGACCGACUUCAUCAUCUCGGUGACACCGAUUUGAUGAC